This 1644-nucleotide long non-coding RNA is filed under the name Sorghum bicolor (sorghum). RNAcentral's name for it is "long non-coding RNA (SBIC_LNC004301)". The record is from RNAcentral. Lineage: Eukaryota; Viridiplantae; Streptophyta; Magnoliopsida; Poales; Poaceae.
GCCGUGACAUCCGGGCGCAUCGCUGUUGUCGGGACCAAAGUGUUCGAGUUAUCACCUUUGCCGAUAGUAAGGUCAAAUCGGCUGGCACGCCUUAACGUUUGAAUCGGGUAUUAGCUCUUUGUGUUUGCAGAUCAACUUUUGCACCAACAAAAGUGACACUUAACAACCAUCAACAAGCUUCCCCGCACUUUGACUUUUACUCGUCCUUGAGAAAAGGUUGGGCCACUGUAACCAUAACUUUAGGACAAGUUGUCAAUAUAAAACCAUUCAUAGUCAUACCUAUAUUGAGGGAUUUAAUGUGUCUACCAUAAAACUUUAGGCGGUUGAAAAAUUAAAGAGCUUGACAUAGAUUACAUUUUUCCUUCAGCCAUGCCAAUUGGAGUUUUUGCAUAAGUUUUAAAAAACAUAGCUUAGCUUCUCCUUCAUGUAGUACUCUCAAAUCACUCAUAUAUGUAGUAUUUUUGGAUCCUCACUAAGGCAUUGAAUGAUUUAUGCCUUCUUUUCAUCCUAACUCUAAUAAGCUUAUAUGGAGUUUAUAGGUAAUUCAAGGAUGUGGCAUACUUAUCUUGCAUAUGUCGCUAAGUCAAAACUCAGAUACAUGGAGAGGAAUGUCAUAUUCUUAGAUCAAGAUGUGCAUGUGUGAUAUAUAUAUAUAUAUAUAUAUAUAUAUAUAUAUAUAUAUAUAUAUAUAUAUAUAUAUAUAUAUAUAUAUAUAUAUAUUAUGUGUAUGUAGUGGCUAUCCUAAUUAUACUUUGCUGCUUGAUAACAUGUCUUCCUAUUUUGAAAUAUUAAAGAACUUUACUUAGAGAGCAUGGGAAAUCUUUUUCUUCUCUCUUUUUUUCAAUUCUUUUCUUUGGACACUCUUCCCUUUUUUAUUUUUCUUUUUACAUAGCCAUAUGCCUUCUCUUUGCAACUAGGAAAUUUUUGAGAAAGAUAGUUACAAAAACUUGGAGCAUUUAUUCCUAACAAAUUUCUUUUUGUGUUUUCUCCUAGUGUAGGAGUAAAACAUUAAGUGGAUGAAAAAACAUGUUUUUGCGUACUCCCAAUGUAGGAGAAGCAGAUAUAUGUGGGUGUAUGUGGUCUUGAUCUUAGGAGUAUGAUAAACCUCUCAACACAGGUUAACAAGGUUUGACAAAACUCAAUACAAAGCCAGUAGCUUAUGAGCUAGUUUUCAAUAUGUAAAUUAUGUAUGGCUCUAGUGGGAUAAUUUUUACUACAGAGGAGAAGCAUAGCUAUUAAUUUUAAAAUUUAAAAUUAAAUUAUCCAAUGAUUAGACCUCAAGAAUCAUGUUCUCAUUAUUCUUGCUACAUCACAUUUCACAACAACUUAAGUGACACAUGGUCCCUAAAAUAAGUUCCCAAUAAUAGCAAGGUGUCUAGGAAAAGUGUUAUGUGGAUCUAUCCUCAAGUCAUGAUAGCACUCGUCGCCCCAUGCAGGAGAGAGGCGCGGUGAGGGGAGGGGAGGGGGGAACGCUGGUGGGAGAGAGGGGCGCCGGUAGCGGAGGGAGACACAGAGAGGAGAGGGGAGGGAGCGCGUCGACCUUGGCACUCGACUUCACGAGAGAGAUAAGGGUGCAAUGGCUCAGAGAGAGAGAGGAGUGCGAGUGCGGCUGGCGACUCAGAGAGAGAGAGAGAGUGGGUAGUC